CAGCAGUAGCCGCGGGAAUACAGAGGGUGCGAGCGUUAAUCGGAUUUACUGGGCGUAAAGCGUGCGUAGGCGGCUUCUUAAGUCGGAUGUGAAAUCCCUGAGCUUAACUUAGGAAUUGCAUUCGAUACUGGGAAGCUAGAGUAUGGGAGAGGAUGGUAGAAUUCCAGGUGUAGCGGUGAAAUGCGUAGAGAUCUGGAGGAAUACCGAUGGCGAAGGCAGCCAUCUGGCCUAAUACUGACGCUGAGGUACGAAAGCAUGGGGAGCAAACAGGAUUAGAUACCCGAGUAGUCCCUGUCUCUUAUAC
Molecule: ribosomal RNA, 304 nt
Filed under: uncultured bacterium
Lineage: Bacteria
Description: partial 16S ribosomal RNA
Rfam family: Bacterial small subunit ribosomal RNA
Source: RNAcentral